AAUUAUUUUUUUAUUACCAAAUUUUUUCAAUUUUUGAUUAGUAUUUUUCAAUUAAUUUAUAAGGACGAAAUGAAGGGAGGAGAUAUUAGGUUAUGUGGAAAAGGUGAUGGGUCUAAGAUGAAAAACGGUACCACUCAUACUAUAGGAGCUGAUGCGGGUACAAGCAUAGGGACGAGUAGUACUAGAGAAAACAUAUUACUAGAAGAGAUAGAAUUUAAGUUACUUAAUAAAAAAAUCGAAACAAAACCCUUUUGUAGUAUUUUUUCAAUAAAAAAUGAUGACAGGUUUUCUAGUAUGCAGAAUAAAAAUAUAAGCGCUAUGUUCCUUGUUACAUUUAAUCUAUACGAUUUUUUUAAAAAAAAAAUUAACACGUAUUACAGCAAAAUAAGAAAAUACAGUGUGGAUUACGAUGAUUACAUACAUGAAGGUGUGCAUAACUAUAGCAGUAUAAAUAGUGGCAGUUUAAAGAAUGGCAGUUAUUUAUACGAUGGAAAUGAUAUGACUGGGGGGGAACAUAUGUACGGAGAACAUAUGAGUGGUGGAAAUAUGAAAGGUGAAGGUAGGAUCAAAUUGGAUGAUAAAAAUGUGCCCUACCAUUCUGAUGUGUAUAAUUACAACAUGGAGAUAAAUACAAACGUUAGUAAAAAUUACAGAGAUAGUAGCAUGAACAGGACAUUACAUCAAAUCGAAGCAGAACACAAGUCAGUAGAGAAUAUGAAUGUAACAGAAGAAACAGGUGUGAUAAAAGAAAGAAACAUACCAGGUGUUAAUAUGAUGUACGAUAUGAAGCAGGACAUGAAUCAAAAUAAGUACAUGCGGAAUAUUCAUGAAGAAGAAAAUAAACCUAAUGAUAUUCUCGAGAUAAAUAAUAAUAGUACUGAUAUUUAUAAUAAAAAAACGUCUAAUCAUAGAAACAGUUUUUUAAAAAUAGAAGACUCAGGAUAUGGAAGUAAUCUUAAGCAAGAAGGUAAUUUAUUAAAUAAUACUACAGAUGUUAAUACGAAUGGUAUAAGUCAGUUUGGGAAUACUGAAGUGAAUGAUAGUCGUAUUAAAAUAAAUAAUACAGAUGAUAAGAACAUUUAUUUACAUAAUAAUACAAAAUUUAAAGAGAUGGUUCAACCCGAUAGGUAUUAUAAGAAUGUUUAUGAUGAC
This 1152-nucleotide long non-coding RNA is filed under the name Piliocolobus tephrosceles (Ugandan red Colobus). RNAcentral describes it as "lncRNA (ENSPTEG00000018763.1)". The record is from RNAcentral. Lineage: Eukaryota; Metazoa; Chordata; Mammalia; Primates; Cercopithecidae.